UUGAUUUUGAAUCGUUACCCUCUGUGCUGGCUCUCGCAAGUGCACGAAGGUGACUUUCAUCCAAUACCCUUGUGAACCUUUGGCCUCUUGCUAGCUUCGGCCGGCAGAGGAUUUCCACAUAAACUCGAAUGUAAUGAAAAGACCCUUUUGUGCGAAAGCACUAAUGUA
Molecule: unclassified non-coding RNA, 168 nt
Filed under: uncultured Basidiomycota
Lineage: Eukaryota; Fungi; Basidiomycota
Description: sequence contains ITS1
Source: RNAcentral